CAGUAGCCGCGGUAAUACGUAGGUCCCGAGCGUUGUCCGGAUUUAUUGGGCGUAAAGCGAGCGCAGGCGGUUAGAUAAGUCUGAAGUUAAAGGCUGUGGCUUAACCAUAGUACGCUUUGGAAACUGUUUAACUUGAGUGCAAGAGGGGAGAGUGGAAUUCCAUGUGUAGCGGUGAAAUGCGUACAUAUAUGGAGGAACACCGGUGGCGAAAGCGGCUCUCUGGCUUGUAACUGACGCUGAGGCUCGAAAGCGUGGGGAGCAAACAGGAUUAGAUACCCCUGUAGUCCCUGUCUUUAUACAC
RNAcentral lists this ribosomal RNA (301 nucleotides) under uncultured bacterium. RNAcentral's name for it is "partial 16S ribosomal RNA". It matches the Rfam family "Bacterial small subunit ribosomal RNA", at positions 509 to 810 of the family's 1533-position model. The record is from RNAcentral.